RNAcentral lists this long non-coding RNA (269 nucleotides) under Ananas comosus (pineapple). RNAcentral describes it as "long non-coding RNA (ACOM_LNC019703)". The record is from RNAcentral. Lineage: Eukaryota; Viridiplantae; Streptophyta; Magnoliopsida; Poales; Bromeliaceae.
UUUGAAUUUAGUGAAAAAUUGGUAAUCAUCUUUUUGCUAGUUUCAAUCUAGUUCAGUAGCCUUGCAUAUUUGCUAAUUUAGCAGGUAUGCGGCGUCUGUUACACCUCGGGUUCGAGGCGUGAUAGAGAAAUGGUAUCAGAGACCUAGGUUUAAGAUCUUUAGAAACUUUUAAGGUAUAAGACUGUGAAAGCUUAUUAGGACGUGUGAGAAUGGGUAGAAGUAAGUGUAUAUUUGAAUUUGUUUCAUUAUUGCUUUGUAGUUUCGAUUAA